GAGUUUGAUCGUGGCUCAGGAUGAACGCUAGCGGCAGGCUUAACACAUGCAAGUCGAGGGGUAGAGUUAGCUUGCUAACUUGAGACCGGCGCACGGGUGCGUAACGCGUAUGCAAUCUACCUUGUACAGGGGGAUAGCCCAGAGAAAUUUGGAUUAAUACCCCAUAGUGUUAUGAUGUGGCAUCACAUUAUAACUAAAGUUCCAACGGUACAAGAUGAGCAUGCGUCCCAUUAGCUAGUUGGUGUGGUAACGGCAUACCAAGGCAACGAUGGGUAGGGGUCCUGAGAGGGAGAUCCCCCACACUGGUACUGAGACACGGACCAGACUCCUACGGGAGGCAGCAGUGAGGAAUAUUGGUCAAUGGGCGCAAGCCUGAACCAGCCAUGCCGCGUGCAGGAUGACGGUCCUAUGGAUUGUAAACUGCUUUUUGUACAGGAAGAAACACUCCCUCGUGAGGGAGCUUGACGGUACUGUAAGAAUAAGGAUCGGCUAACUCCGUGCCAGCC
Molecule: ribosomal RNA, 506 nt
Filed under: uncultured Flavobacterium sp.
Lineage: Bacteria; Pseudomonadati; Bacteroidota; Flavobacteriia; Flavobacteriales; Flavobacteriaceae
Description: bacterial SSU rRNA
Rfam family: Bacterial small subunit ribosomal RNA
Source: RNAcentral